Molecule: long non-coding RNA, 1475 nt
Organism: Camelus dromedarius (Arabian camel)
Lineage: Eukaryota; Metazoa; Chordata; Mammalia; Artiodactyla; Camelidae
Exons: 13
Source: RefSeq, a predicted model, not a curated record
AGUCUGUCAGCUGCGCGUUCGCUCGGAAGAGCGACAAGCUUCUUUUUUUUUUUUUUUUUUUUUUUUUUUGUAGUUUUAAUUGGUACUUUGGGCCUGAAGGCGGGGGCCUCACUGAGAAAGGAAACUGAGCCUGAGCAGACACUCUCUGCGUAGGAUCAUCAUGCCGAGCAUAAACUGGACUUUCCCACUUGCGUGGCAGGAGUGAGACAGAUCACUGUGUGCUAAAUGAGCAUCUGAGAGAAGGAAUGAAUGCUGCAUAAUUAAGUACAGUAUUUAAUUUGGCUGUUGUGAAGCAAAAGAAUAAGAUGUCCUUGGCGUGUACACCCCUACGGAAUCUGGUUCAUCUACAAUCUGUCAGAAAGCAUCAGAGGUGGUUUUGAGUCCUUAUGUCCUGAGCCUGUGAACAAAAUGUACCUUGUGUGGAGGAAAAUGAGAUCCUGAGUGAAGUCUACAAUGUCAUUGACUCUGAAGAAGGACUCAGAGACCCAUUGGUGUUUAAUGACCCUUACUGGCCUAUGCAAUAGGAACUGGAGGAAGAGAUUCCAAGGAUGCAUGUGCACAGAGAAAAGGCCAUGUGAGGACCCAGUGAGAAGCUGGCUAUCUGCAAGCCUAGGAGAGAGGCCUCAGGAGUAAUGAACCCUGCCAACAUCUUGUCUUGGACCUUCAGACUCCAGAACUGUAAAGAGGAGAAAAGAAAUCAGGAAAAAUUGGGAAGAUAAAUGGGGUCUUUCCAGUGAAGACGCAGAUAUCAUACCCAUGAGACACGAAGAGUUUGUAAGAGGUAUCACACUGGCUCAAUUUUCCUACAUAAUUAAGACUUUGCAGCUUGAGGAAUGCCAAGAACCACAUCUGCACUGAAAUCAAUCAUCUGUUUGAUGACUUCCACUAACAUAGAUGGAGGAUGCAUAGCCCAUUUCAGUGGGACACCCCAGGCCCUGCCUAUGGUGGUUAAGUCUGGCUUAAAUUCAGAAAACACAAGAAAUAAGAAGACCAUUUUGAGAAGAGCAGAUAGUUGCCUUAAGAAAAUCCCUGUCAUAUGCACUCCGGGAUUUGGACUCAAAUCCUAAUUAUACAAACAGUGGCAUCACUGCCUUACACAUCUGCUUUACAUCUUCUAAGGAGCCAGUGACAGAAUUAGUGUCAGACACGGCACUCAGGUGGAAGAGGAAAACAAGAACAUAGGUUAUAAUCUCUCAAGCUGACAGUGCACCUUCUCAAAGAAGAGAAAUGGAGCCAUUUGGGUACCCAGCUGCUGUCCAUUCUCCACACUUAGCCCACCCAGUGGAACACCAUUGAGAAAAACAUUGCUGCAAUUCCUGAUAAACUGACACGGGUCCCAUACCCACUAAGAGUGAAACUAUCUCCUAGUCAGAGGAAACUACAACUGAUGAGAAAGACAGAUUAAUUUCUCUGCCCUUACUGUUACACAAAAGAUUGAUGCUGCCAUUUUUACAAUUUGCUUUCCCCCCUGGAGU